RNAcentral lists this microRNA precursor (85 nucleotides) under Cajanus cajan (pigeon pea). RNAcentral's name for it is "miRNA gene-KK1_046801". Lineage: Eukaryota; Viridiplantae; Streptophyta; Magnoliopsida; Fabales; Fabaceae. The record is from RNAcentral.
AAAGAGAUGAUCUUAAAAGUUAGACAUUUUAAGAUCGGUCGUCAAUAGCCGAUCUUAAAAGUCCAGCUUUUAAGAUCAGCCACUC